CUGGCUCAGGAUGAACGCUAGCGGCAGGCUUAACACAUGCAAGUCGAGGGGCAGCGCGAGUAGCAAUACUUGGCGGCGACCGGCGCAAGGGUGCGUAACGCGUGAGCAACAUGCCCGUAUCAGGGGGAUAAUCCAGGGAAACUUGGUCUAAUACCCCAUAGUAAUUUUGUAAGGCAUCUUAUAAGAUUUAAAGCUUUGGUGGAUACGGAUUGGCUCGCGUGACAUUAGCUGGAUGGUAAGGUAACGGCUUACCAUGGCUAUGAUGUCUAGGGGUUCUGAGAGAAGGUCCCCCACACUGGAACUGAGACACGGUCCAGACUCCUACGGGAGGCAGCAGUGAGGAAUAUUGGACAAUGGAUGGAAAUCUGAUCCAGCCAUGCCGCGUGAAGGAAGAAAGGUCCUAUGGAUUGUAAACUUCUUUUGUAUGGGAGCAAUAAGGCCUACGAGUAGGUUGAUGAGAGUACCAUACGAAUAAGCACCGGCUAACUCCGUGCCAGCAGCAGC
RNAcentral lists this ribosomal RNA (504 nucleotides) under uncultured bacterium. RNAcentral's name for it is "bacterial SSU rRNA". It matches the Rfam family "Bacterial small subunit ribosomal RNA", at positions 19 to 518 of the family's 1533-position model. The record is from RNAcentral.